Molecule: ribosomal RNA, 402 nt
Filed under: uncultured bacterium
Lineage: Bacteria
Description: bacterial SSU rRNA
Rfam family: Bacterial small subunit ribosomal RNA
Source: RNAcentral
AACGAACGUUAGCGGCGCGCUUAACACAUGCAAGUCGAACGAGAAAGGGCUUCGGCCCCGGUAAAGUGGCGCACGGGUGAGUAACACGUGGGUAAUCUUCCCUUGAGCGGGGGAUAACAUUCCGAAAGGAGUGCUAAUACCGCAUAAGACCACGGCUCCGAAAGGGGCUGCGGUUAAAGCAGGCCUCUUCAUGAAAGCUUGCACUCGAGGAUGAGCCCGCGGCCCAUCAGCUAGUUGGUAGGGAAUGGCCUACCAAGGCAAAGACGGGUAGCUGGUCUGAGAGGAUGAUCAGCCACACUGGAACUGAGACACGGUCCAGACUCCUACGGGAGGCAGCAGUGGGGAAUCUUGCGCAAUGGGCGAAAGCCUGACGCAGCGACGCCGCGUGAGUGAUGAAGGCCU